CCUGGCUCAGGACGAACGCUAGCGGCGUGCUUUAAGCAUGCAAGUGGGACGGGGUGUAGCAAUACACCUAGUCGCGAACGGCUGAGUAACACGUAAGAACUUACCUUUUGGUGGUGAAUACCUUGUCGAAAGACAAGCUAAUACAGCAUAAGAUCCACGGAUGAAAGCCCUUUACCGGGCGCCGAAAGAGAGGCUUGCGGUCUAUCAGAUAGUAGGUGGGGUAAUGGCCUACCAAGUCAACGACGGAUCGGGGACGUGAGAGCGUGACCCCUCAGAACGGGACUGAGACACGGCCCGUACACCUACGGGUGGCAGCAACUGGGAAUCGUGCGCAAUGGACGAAAGUCUGACGCCGCGACGCCGCGUGAAGGAUGAAGGCAUUCGUGUCGUAAACUUCUUUUGCCAUAGUCGAGACACUAUGGAGAAUAAGCACCGGCUAACUCUGUGCCAGCAGCAGCGGUAAUACAGAGGGUGCAAGCGUUGUCCGGAUUUAUUGGGCGUAAAGAGUCCGUAGGCUUUUCGUUAAGUCAUCUUUCAAAGACCAGAGCUCAACUUUGGGAAGGGGGAUGAUACUGGCGGAAUUGAAAGGUUUCGGGGUUACUGGAACUGUCGGUGUAGGAGUGAAAUCCGUUGAUAUCGACAGGAACACC
This 650-nucleotide ribosomal RNA is filed under the name uncultured soil bacterium. RNAcentral's name for it is "bacterial SSU rRNA". It matches the Rfam family "Bacterial small subunit ribosomal RNA", at positions 18 to 710 of the family's 1533-position model. The record is from RNAcentral.